UUGCGACUAAUAUUGCAACUAAGUUGGUAGUCGCUACCAUUAUUUUUGAAAUUUAUAAAAGAUAUUUUAAAAAAACCCUUUGUAUAUGAGUAGUUGCCGCAAAAAAAUUAAAAAAAAAACCUUAAAAACAAUGUGUUGCCAAACUUUAAAGAAAAAAACUUGAUCAUUCUUUAAAAAAUUGCUUCAUAAAAAAAAAUUAUCUUCUUAAACAUAGUUAGAGUACAGACACACUUCUUCGUAAAAAAAAAUGCAAAAGGCUUCAUUUCAGAGAAUCAACCCUCAUUGUUGCUCAUCAUCUUCCUCCGCUGCACCACCACGUCUCCUCCCAGGUAAGUUGUUUAAAUGCCUGACGUCCCUUCCACCCUUCGCUUAUUGAAUUUUGCUAGCUACGAUUUUUAGGGUUAUCGUUGAUUUUUUUGUUCAAUUAUUGUUUUUAAUGUGGUUUCCAUGGUUUAAUUGAUGUCAAUUAAUUAAAAAUCAUUCACAAUUGAUUGAGUAUGCAAAUAUCCCUAAUUAUUUUCAAUGUAAAAGUCCCAAUUCUGGUAAUUUCGACACUUUUUUUUUUUUUUCUCCACUAGUUAUUAAAUGUGUAAUUUCUGAAGAGGGGGGGUUUGUUGGUUGUUUGUUAAUUACAUUCUCGUUUUGUUUAGAAUUCCUAUUCAUUAGUGGGUAUUGAGGUUCGCUAGUUCUAAUUGAAUUCUUUUUUUUUUUCUCCGAUUUUAUUCUGUUUUUGAGCCUAAUUUGCUGCUGGUUGGUUGUCAUGACAAUGGUUGUAGGUGGUUGCUGCAAUGAUGUGGUGUUAUAUAAUUGAGUUGUGGGGGCAGCAAGUUACGGGCUAGAAUAACAGUAGUUUAAUUGAGUGCGGAAGCAUUUUCUUUCUUUGUUGCUGAAUUGUGAAAAACCUGUUUGGAUGCAUCUUGUCAUUACCUUCCCCAAGUAUAGAAGAUAGCAUGUCAUGUGAACAAGUAUAGAAGAUAGUUCGUAAGUCUUACUUAAUUAUUAGUUAUUGUACUUUCUGGUAAGUUAAUUGUUGCUUUUCAGCAUUUUAACUCGAAUUAUUAUGUUAGCAAGUAUGUUAACGAAUAGGAUAAUGCUUCCAACUAUUUAAAACUCUACCAGAAAGUUAUUAUAAUUUUGAAACUGCUUUCUUGAUUGAGCUAUUCUAUUGUGAACUUAAUGAUGUUCUCCUUCUCUUUAUUUUCUGUCUAUUUCAGUGUGAGUGUGUGCAGUUGACUGUUUGUGCCUAGGUUAUGUUUGUUGCAAUGUUAUAUUCAGCAAUGGAAUAUUGGGGAUUAUAUGUUACAAGUGGGUAAAGGUUUAGUGUGAUGGCAAAGUAGCACUUUACAUGAAUAAGGAAUUUUUGAGAGUCUUUGCGAAAGAGAAGAAUACAAGGGAGUAGCUUUGUAAAAGAGCCUUGUCAAUAUUUGUUAUGCCAGUAUGUCAAUGAAGAGGGGUGAAAUUUUCGUAUGUGCUCUUCCUUGGCUGAGGAAAUAAAGCAAAUUUUAAAUAAGAUAUAAGAUAUUACUCCUUCUACUGCUACCUUACUACUGCUGCUGCUACCACACUUGUUGCUGUUGUUACCACGCUGUUGCUACUACUGCCGCGCUGCCAUUAAAGCAUCGCUUCCAAUUCCAUGCGCUACACUGUGUUAUAAGAGAUUAGUGUAUAUUAUGAUUAACAAAAUCUACUGUUUUUUUUUGUAAUAUAAACAUAAAUUGUAUUAGAUUGUGAACUUUUAUCUAUAUAAUUGAUUAAUUAUUAAUUAAGCAUAAA
Chenopodium quinoa (quinoa) is the source of this 1773-nucleotide long non-coding RNA. RefSeq lists it as uncharacterized. The transcript has 3 exons. The record is from RefSeq and is a predicted model, not a curated record. NCBI's taxonomy places the organism in Eukaryota, Viridiplantae, Streptophyta, Magnoliopsida, Caryophyllales, Amaranthaceae.